GGCUCAAUGGUGUAGUGGUUAUCACUCCUGUCUUACAUCAAACAUGCACACAGGCGGUCGUCGGUUCGAUCCCGGCUUGAGUCA
This 84-nucleotide transfer RNA is filed under the name Phlebiopsis gigantea 11061_1 CR5-6. It matches the Rfam family "tRNA". From Rfam's summary of the family: Transfer RNA (tRNA) molecules are approximately 80 nucleotides in length. The record is from Rfam by way of RNAcentral. Lineage: Eukaryota; Fungi; Basidiomycota; Agaricomycetes; Polyporales; Phanerochaetaceae.